AAAAAAAAAAAAAAAGGCACGGAACUGCCCCGCGGAUGGUGGUGCGGGAGCAGAGGGGCUGGCACGGAGCGCAGGACGGGCACAGACACGGGGCCCCCUCACCGUGUGGAACACUGGGCCUCACAUAAACCAGGCAGGAGAGAUGUUUCCAAGAUGGGAUCAUUUCACACCAGAACUCAUAUACUGAAACCCUAAUUAAUACUGAAAAGUCUGUGCUCUGCCAUGUCCUCAAAUCCGUGGAAUUGGGGUAAGGACACUGAACUAUCCGAUGUGUUUCUCCCACACGUACACAGAGCUAAUGCUUCCACCACACCUAUCCUUUUGUAAAAAUGUAACUGUUGCAACAGUUCCUGUUCCUGAUGCAGUGACUCAGUUAUAUCUUGUUCUCCAGUGAAAAUUUUGAUUGAUACACAGUUAUCCUGCUAUUAUGGAGAGGGAUUAUGAGGACUGGAAGUGGUUGUUUACAGAGGGGAGGGUUGUUCCACGUGGGCUGGGUGGGGUUUGCUUUGCAAAUCUCACUGGACAAAUCAGUUUUGCUGCAUUUUAAAAUCUGUCAGAAGAACCUCACAUUGCAGUGGUUUGUUCUGAUGGCCUCACACAGCCCUGUGCUGUGCAUUAUCUUGAUUUUUUUUUUAAUUUCUUUUUAAUUUUUAACCUUCCUUUUCU
Long non-coding RNA from Lepidothrix coronata (blue-crowned manakin), 666 nucleotides. RefSeq lists it as uncharacterized. The record is from RefSeq and is a predicted model, not a curated record. The transcript has 3 exons. NCBI's taxonomy places the organism in Eukaryota, Metazoa, Chordata, Aves, Passeriformes, Pipridae.